This 451-nucleotide ribosomal RNA is filed under the name uncultured Fibrobacter sp. RNAcentral describes it as "partial 16S ribosomal RNA". It matches the Rfam family "Bacterial small subunit ribosomal RNA", at positions 341 to 792 of the family's 1533-position model. The record is from RNAcentral. Lineage: Bacteria; Pseudomonadati; Fibrobacterota; Fibrobacteria; Fibrobacterales; Fibrobacteraceae.
ACGGGAGGCAGCAGUGGGGAAUAUUGCACAAUGGGGGGAACCCUGAUGCAGCAACGUCACGUGUGGGAAGAAGCAUUUCGGUGUGUAAACCACUGUCGUGAGGGAAUAAUGCUUGGCUCCGGCCAAGUUGAAUGUACCUCGAAAGGAAGCACCGGCAAACUUCGUGCCAGCAGCCGCGGUAAUACGAGGGGUGCAAGCGUUGUUCGGAAUCACUGGGCGUAAAGGGAGCGUAGGCGGAGACGCAAGCAGUCUGUGCAAUGCCGGGGCCCAACCCCGGACCUGCAGACUGGACUGUGUCUCUUGGAUAGUUCAGGGGCAGGCGGAAUUCCUGGUGUAGCGGUGGAAUGCGUAUAGAUCCGGAAGAACACCGAUGGCGAAGGCAGCCUGCUGGGGACUCAUCGACGCUGAGGCUCGAAAGUGCGGGUAGCAAACAGGAUUAGAUACCCUGGUA